RNAcentral lists this ribosomal RNA (498 nucleotides) under uncultured bacterium. Its description in RNAcentral is "partial 16S ribosomal RNA". It matches the Rfam family "Bacterial small subunit ribosomal RNA", at positions 30 to 523 of the family's 1533-position model. The record is from RNAcentral.
AUUGAACGCUGGCGGCAUGCCUUACACAUGCAAGACGAACGGUAACAGGUCUUCGGAUGCUGACGAGUGGCGAACGGGUGAGUAAUACAUCGGAACGUGCCUAGUAGUGGGGGAUAACUACUCGAAAGAGUGGCUAAUACCGCAUGAGAUCUACGGAUGAAAGCAGGGGAUCGAAAGACCUUGUGCUACUAGAGCGGCCGAUGGCAGAUUAGGAAGUUGGUGGGAUAAAAGCUUACCAAGCCGACGAUCUGUAGCUGGUCUGAGAGGACGAUCAGCCACACUGGGACUGAGACACGGCCCAGACUCCUACGGGAGGCAGCAGUGGGGAAUUUUGGACAAUGGGCGCAAGCCUGAUCCAGCAAUGCCGCGUGCAGGAUGAAGGCCUUCGGGUUGUAAACUGCUUUUGUACGGAACGAAAAGCCCCGGGUUAAUACCCUGGGGUCAUGACGGUACCGUAAGAAUAAGCACCGGCUAACUACGUGCCAGCCGCCGCAGUAA